AGCAACAUCAUAAAAUAACAAAAUACAGACGCUUGAGGUCUGCUUUGUGACAAAAGUCUGCAGAAACACACCUAACAGCAGAGCUCCCAACGUCCUCUCUAGUUCCCAACUACGGUACAGGUUCUUUCUAGACUCUUUGCCCCAGGCCGGCUUUAAAGGGAUGUCAAUAAUUUGCCAAGCUUUUAUUUUCCACAUUGGUUCAUUGCAGCUCUUGUCUUGUCUUGCUGCCUGUUGUUUUGCUGCUCGGGAACCUUGAGAGGUGAUCUCAUCUGUGCCGCGCUCCUCAGCCCCUGCUCCCAAAACAAGAUUGUGUUUAUCUGACCAAAAUAGCCGCCUCGGGCUGGAAAAACCCUAGACAAACAGAAAUAGGCCGAGAGUUUCCAAGGAAGACGGUCUGGGCUGGAGGUGAUGCUGCUUGUGAGCGACGGCAGCUGCAGCCACAGAACAAGGAGGCUAGAAAGUAAUGGUUAGAGACAGACAGCUAGCUGAGUCUAAACAAAGUCCUUCGGCCUGAAAGUGGUCGUCAGUCAUCCGUCAAGUUCACCUGGAGGUCAGGUGGGUGAGGAACUCAGAGGUUUCUGUGGGAGGAGCUCCGCCUAGACUGACCGCUGCAUGACAGCUGCCCAACCUUCACUCCCACGGGCGGAGGAGGACGCAAGACACGAUGGGUGCUCAAAUUAAAGUCUUCGUAAUCCUAAAAGAAUAAAAGUAGCCUGUUAAAUCAUCUUUUGUUGAGAAAUGACAGAGUUGCAAAUCUCAACAAUGACACCGAAUUUUUGCUCGUUAUUGUGCCCUGAGCCGACCUUUGACCUUUUAAUUUUGGCGUUCUAAUAAAGAUUCGAUGUCAUGAGCAUGACCCUCCCAUGUUCCAGUCAGCACUGACAAAACAAAACGUCUUCAAGAAACCAAAGAUGUUCAGUUGCCUUUAUUUCAAACCCUUUUGGAAAUCAAGAUUAGAUUUUAAAGUUUUUCUGCUGUUUCAUCUUUACUGAUGAUAACUGCUGGUGGCAGUCGUCUUGAAUGGGGUCGGCUGACUACUCCGUAAAAUCUAGGCAGUGAUUCAAGCCAGGUGGGUGCUUAACCUGAAGCUGCUCCCACGCAUUUUUAAGUGAUGUUUUAUCAGGUAAUCAGUAGUUAGGACCCUAAGUGCAGGUAACGUUAUUUACUAAAUACGUUCAUUUUGUCUUUGUUAUAAACUAAAAUCAUCGUCAUCAACUAAAAUUACUUUUAUUUUAUUUUAAUAAGACAAACGAGGGUAGCGCUCCCAGAAAGUCGCUGAUGCUCUGAGGAAAACUGAAGCUUUCAGUCGAAACUGUCAGCAGGUGUGAUAAAACAUCUUUAAAACCAUGUUUGUCUUAUUAAAGGAAAACAAGUGAUUUUAAUAGCAGGUAACGUUGCUCAGAACCAACAGAAUACCUAAAAGCUGGAAGUUAUGGCAAGACAUUUUACCAUUUAAUCAACAACCGAUCCUCUUUGUAACAUGGAAAUUCCUGGGAAGAUUGUACUUUCUGAAAUAAAAACAGUACUAGUUUAAA
Nothobranchius furzeri (turquoise killifish) is the source of this 1535-nucleotide non-coding RNA. Lineage: Eukaryota; Metazoa; Chordata; Actinopteri; Cyprinodontiformes; Nothobranchiidae. The record is from RefSeq and is a predicted model, not a curated record.